Molecule: long non-coding RNA, 726 nt
Organism: Zophobas morio
Lineage: Eukaryota; Metazoa; Arthropoda; Insecta; Coleoptera; Tenebrionidae
Exons: 2
Source: RefSeq, a predicted model, not a curated record
CUUUGACAAUUAUUUUACUUGCAAUAUGGUGCUUCGUAAAGAAUUACUUGAAGAAUUUCAGUGUCCAGUUUGUACCGAAUAUAUAUUUCCACCAAUCAAAUGCCGCUCUCCAAUUGCUUACGAAAAAAAUUCUACACUGGAAAAAUUACACGAAAAAUUAGAUUUUCCUUGUAAAUAUUAUGACCAGGGCUGUUCUUUUGUCGGACAACCAGAUAAAUUAGAAAUUCAUCAAACAGACUGCUGUCACAACAUCGACAAAACAUCGAAAUGGUCUGAAGGAAAAAUACCUGAACUUCUUUCUUUUAUUGUCUUUUCUACAUGCUUGCUCUUGUUUGAAUUGUACUUGAUUUUAUAAGCAGAACAGGGCUGGUAAUGUAGGCAAUAAGACUAUAAUAUUUAUAACAUUUACUAAGAAAAUAUUAAAAAUUACAGCAAUAAAUAAGAAUUACGACGAAGAUGAAAUGUUUCAGUUCUUUAGUUUUGCAUCGACAAUGGGUAAUCGACAAUUACGUUACAGUAGGAAAAUCGUCUGAAUCGUCGCGAUAGUAUUCAUAGUCAGGACGGAAAUUAAAAACUCGUCUCUUCUCAUUCGUGUGUCUUCUUAGCGAAAACAAGGGUUCGAAGACAAAAUCGUCAGCAGCCACAGCUAAAUCAUCAAGACUGUCCCUCGAAGCAGGAUAAGCAAAUGCAGUUGCUAACAAAAACACCAGUAAGGUGACACAAAUC